This 378-nucleotide long non-coding RNA is filed under the name Lathyrus oleraceus (garden pea). RNAcentral's name for it is "Pisum sativum (pea) long non-coding RNA (PSAT_LNC036994)". Lineage: Eukaryota; Viridiplantae; Streptophyta; Magnoliopsida; Fabales; Fabaceae. The record is from RNAcentral.
AUCACUAAUUACUUUUCGCUACAAAUAGCAUUUUUUAUAUUUUUUUAUUAUUCACAAUGCUUAAUACAUUUUGAUCCAUAAAAACCCUUAUUUAAUUCUUUACAAAAUUUAAUUGGGUCAUUUCUUUUUACUAAAAAAAUAUUCAUUAUUUAAAUUGAUAGAAUAUAUCGAAUAAUACAAAUUUAAAAUUGCUAUAAACUCAAUAUGAUGAAUUUGUGAACAAACUCACAUGAGAAAAAAGUUGUCUUUGUAUUGGAUUCGCUCUUCUGUUAGCAUAAACAUGAAUUAGAUUCUAUUCAUCUUAUUUAUUCUUAAGAGAACCCCCCACCUGAACCAUUCUUAAGAUCACCAAGCUCUCUCGAAUGAGUUCUAUUUUUU